This is a long non-coding RNA of Acanthopagrus latus (yellowfin seabream), 641 nucleotides long. RefSeq lists it as uncharacterized. The record is from RefSeq and is a predicted model, not a curated record. Lineage: Eukaryota; Metazoa; Chordata; Actinopteri; Spariformes; Sparidae. The transcript is spliced from 2 exons.
CCGGAUGUGUCUGUGAUCUGAUUACAUCUGUUUUUUUUUUCUGUUACAAUCAGAAUAUAUAUGUAUACACACACACACACACGCAUGUAGUUGUCAUGUCAUACUAAAGUACUUCCUCCUCUCUCCAGGUGAACAGUGGGACUUGUCUUCAGCUUCAGGUGGAUCAGCUCUGACCUGUAUGGUGAUCAGACCCGGAGAGGAGAGACACCUGGUCUAACAAGGCGAUGGACGGUUGAAAGGACGAAUCACCGAGACGAACAAGACGAGCCAAACAACGGAGACGACGUGUGGGCGGAGGGAACAGUCUGCUGAGGACGAGCUGGACGAUGGUUUCCUGAACUGAAUCCUGAUUUCCUGUAAUCAAGUUUUGUGGACUGACAUGUUGUCUGGCUGGUGCUCGGCCCAGGACAGGAAGGCUCUGCAGCAGGUGAUCCAUCCUUCCACAGAACAUCACUGACAGAGGAGAGGAGGUGAGGUGUCUGCUCAGAGAUCGAAGAAUACUGAAAAAGACUAAAAGAACCAGAAGUAACUGCUGACGUAGCUUCUGCCCCUCAGACUGUGAGACUCUGAAUAUCCUCAACAAUAUAGACUGCUUUGGUUUCUGUCUGUCUGUGAUGAAACAUUAAAUGAGUCAAACUUAA